AGAUUAGAGAAAUGAAGCCUGCACAAACCCAGGGAGGUUUUCAGCAGACACGAGGGAUGGCAGCAAUCAUUCACCAGAAAGUCUCACAUAGGAGAUUUUCAUUGAUAGUGCAAACUUAAUUUGUAUAUCUAAAGAUGAAGUACCUUCCUUUUCCGGUAAAAGUCAUUUCCUUUGUCAGGGGACGUCUUUAUUGGCCUCAGAACCUCCUAAAAGAUUCCCAUAGCUUAUCUUCCUUCCAUUUCUAAGACUAGAGAGGAAUUUCUAAGAUGAAAUAGGGAAGUUAGGUUUAGCCAUGAGCUGAAGUCACAUAAAUAAUCUGCAAAUGUACUCAUCACAAGGAAAAGACUUUAAUGGUCCUUUCAUAAUCUUUUUCAAAGGAAAAAAAAAAAAGGAUAACCCUCAGCUUUAUUCUGACAUUUUCCCUCGAUGAUGCCAAUCAAGGCAUUUAUUGGUUAGUAUAACCAGAAGACUGUACUCAUGAAUAUUUUGACAUUUAAAGAAGGAUAAUAAAGGAACAGAUAUAUAAGCUUGCCUGCCAAAGGAUAUAGUGAUAUGCUGCAUAACAGCCACCUUGGCAAUAAUGUGCUUCUCCACUAUAAGGGAGAAAAAUGAAGCGGCCCAGAGACAACAAUGAAAGAAUUUGAAAGCAUUUUCCCAGAGUUGACGCCAAGAGAGCUAUAUUCCAAAACUUGGACCCAUGCUGACUCAUUGCCUAACUGCACAUUUUCCUGGUAACCAGGCGGAUGAUGUGCUAAUGCAAAUUGGCAGACUUGGACUGAAACUCCAAAAAUUGGAUCUGCCACGUGGAAGAACAAAAGGACAAAAGAGACUUCAAGGCUUCCCUUUUGCUUUGGGUUUCCAUUUCUGUUGCAAUGGUAGACACUGGCUGAAUGAUACAAUAAUAUUGCCCUGCGUUGCUGCACGAGUGAUUAAAGUGCAAGGGCACAGUAAGUCCUGCUUUUCUACAGCCAUCUCACAGGAAAGCACAGAAGAUUCUACAGAAAGAACAAGCCUUCUGCAACACGCAGAUAUUCCCAGAAAGACAAUUCCAAGUCUGUUUUAUUAGUUCCUGAGUUUUCAUUGCACUGCUGAGUGGUGUGCCAGGACUGUAGGCUCCUCCUUUAUUAAAAUUCUCAUCCAUCUGACCAAGACCCACCUAUUUUCUGACCAUGGACUUGGAAUUUACUGUGAAGUGAGUGAAUUGAUACAAACCAAUCAGAAUGCUCCAAGCAAUUUCAGCUCAGAUUUGAAGUAGUUGUUUCUAUUCAAAAAUGAGCUUUUUUCUUUAUUAACCAGGAACUUGUCAGUUAGGCGGGUCUGGGUGAGUCUAUUUUAAGAUGUUAAAAUUAGUAAAUAAAUCACCUUGGAUAAUUUCCUGCCA
This 1381-nucleotide long non-coding RNA is filed under the name Sus scrofa (pig). Its description in RNAcentral is "lncRNA (ENSSSCG00050061670.1, ENSSSCG00060014799.1)". The record is from RNAcentral. Lineage: Eukaryota; Metazoa; Chordata; Mammalia; Artiodactyla; Suidae.